RNA transcript from Capra hircus (goat), 1872 nucleotides. It is a transcript of the gene named PQ loop repeat containing 3, with no coding region annotated. NCBI's taxonomy places the organism in Eukaryota, Metazoa, Chordata, Mammalia, Artiodactyla, Bovidae. The record is from RefSeq and is a predicted model, not a curated record. The transcript is spliced from 8 exons.
GGGGCGGGGAGGCGGAGGGGCGGACCUCGACGGGGCGGCCCCGAAGGCGGGGGCCAGGAAAGGCGGAAGGACCGGGCCGGUGGACCCUGCGGCCGAGAGCUGAACUGCUCCCCUCGCCAGGCGGCCGGGCCGGAGGAACCCCCCGAGUCCCAGCCCAGCGGGCGCCAUGGAGACGCUGCUGUGGUUCUGCAACUGGAGCACGCUGGGCGUGUGCGCGGCGCUCAAGCUGCCGCAGAUCUCGGUUGUGCUGGGGGCGCGCAGCUCGCGGGGCAUCAGCCUCCCGAGCCUGCUGCUGGAGCUGGCGGGGUUCCUGGUCUUCCUCCGGUACCAGUGUUACUAUGAGUACCCGCUGCUGACAUACCUGGAGUACCCCAUCCUCAUCGCACAAGAUCUCAUCCUCCUGCUGUGUGUCUUCCACUUCAAUGGGGAUGUGAGACGGGCAGCGCCGUACAUCAUCGUCUGCGUGUCUGCUUGGUUCCUCCUCACUCUGCAGCAGUGGAUCCUAGAUCUGGCCAUGAACUUAUGCACUUUCAUCAGUGCGGCCAGUAAGUUUGCGCAGCUCCAAUACCUGUGGAAGAGCAGGGACUCAGGAGCCGCAAGCGCUCUGACGUGGAGCCUCGCUUCUUAUACUUGUGCAGCAAGAAUAAUGACAACUUUAAUGACCACCAAUGAUCUUACAAGGUUACCGUGAUGGAGGAGAAAACAAACUUGGGUUAACUUAAAGAGAAUGUCGUUCAUUCCUUAGGCUGAAUUUUCAAGCAUAUAAAUGUUUGGAAAAUGAUUAAAACAGUUCUUACACGUUUCGUGAUCAUGCUGGCCUUAAACAUAUGGGUAACUGCUACAAUACUUCACUACCGGAAGACCGAUAUAAAGUCUGAAUGAUGGAUUAUUCCUAUACACAAAGUGGAUUCUGAAAAACGGAACCAAAGGAAAAAAAAGCUCACUGCUAAAUCAUGAGUUUAGUCAACCGUGCCAAAGAUACUUUAGACUUGAAAAAGCCCAGUUACACACUUGUUUAAAAAUGCUGAUUUUUAAAAAUCCUCUGCCCCCACUUUAUUAGGUUAAGGUAGGACUUUAGACAUCUGCAAUUCUGAGAAAGCUGGUGAUGGAUGGAAGUCUUCCAAAAAGCCCUUUCUGAUGAGGUAGCUUUGACCCUUAUUCUGGGAACUAACUACAUCUACUUCUCAACUUUUAAAAUCUUUUAAGAAAUACAUGGUCUCCAAAACACAAAUGCACAUGAAUGGAGUGAGAUUUUGGAAAUUUUAAUAACUUACCAGGGUUCACUUCCUGGGAUGAAUGUUUAAUUGUAAUACAGACAUAAUAGGAUGGCCUUAUUGUAUCAUAUUAUCAUAAAAUACCUCCUUGGCUAUGGCAAAGAUAUCAAGGAAGCAAAAAUGUAACUGGUUUGAAUGCAUAUACCAAAGUAGCUCUUUAACUUCAUACUGUACCUUUAAGCAUUUCGUAACAAAAGAUACCAGCAAUCUCUACUUAUGAAGAGGCAAUCCCAAUAUACUUCAAGAUUCAAGCACAGUGCUGCCAUUUUUAAAAGGAUUACACCUGCACAAUUAACUGUUACUGGAAUUUGGUACAAAAUACAGCCAACCUCAACCAGGGUUUGCCUACUGAAAAUAUAUGCAGCAAAGGGUAUUGCUGGGUUCUGCCAAGCUCUCAUGGAUUUAAUUCUCAUCAUGGUAUCAUACUUUAAACAUGCUGUUAAGAUUAUCCACUGUAUUUUCCUAUAAAAGUUUAUAAAACCUAACAUUUAAAAACAUUCACCUAAUAAUUGAGUAGCAUUAUUCUAUUAUAUGCAGUAAGUAAAUGAUGUUUAUUAGAAAGUGUUUCCUGUGUAAAAUAAACUUAUUUUGAACUCUU